UUUCCGGUUGAUCCCGCCGGACCUGACUGCUAUCGGAUUGAUACUAAGCCAUGCGAGUCUUUGUAGUAAUACAAGGCAGACGGCUCAGUAACACGUAGUCAACCUACCCUAUGGACGAGAAUAAUCUCGGGAAACUGAGCAUAAUUCUUGAUAGAUCAUAAUGCCUGGAAUGGUUUAUGGUUAAAAUGAUUCGUCGCCAUAGGAUGGGACUGCGGCCUAUCAGCUUGUUGGUGAGGUAAUGGCCCACCAAGGCGAUUACAGGUACGGGCUCUGAGAGGAGAAGCCCGGAGAUGGGUACUGAGACACGGACCCAGGCCCUAUGGGGCGCAGCAGGCGAGAAAACUUUGCAAUGUGCGAAAGCACGACAAGGUUAAUCCGAGUGAUUUCUGCUAAAGAAAUCUUUUACCAGUCGUAAAACCGCUGGUGAAUAAGGGGUGGGCAAGUUCUGGUGUCAGCCGCCGCGGUAAAACCAGCACCUCAAGUGGUCAGGAUGAUUAUUGGGCCUAAAGCAUCCGUAGCCUGCUUUGUAAGUUUUCGGUUAAAUCCAUGUGCUCAACGCAUGGGCUGCCGAAAAUACUGCAUAGCUAGGGAGUGGGAGAGGUAGACGGUACUCAGUAGGUAGGGGUAAAAUCCUUUGAUCUAUCGAUGACCACCUGUGGCGAAGGCGGUCUACCAGAACACGUUCGACGGUGAGGGAUGAAAGCUGGGGGAGCAAACCGGAUUAGAUACCCGGGUAGUCCCAGCUGUAAACGAUGCAGACUAGAUGAUGCAUUGGCAUAAUAGCCAUUGCAGUGUCUCAGGGAAGCCGUUAAGUCUGCCGCCUGGGAAGUACGUACGCAAGUAUGAAACUUAAAGGAAUUGGCGGGGGAGCACCACAAGGGGUGAAGCCUGCGGUUCAAUUGGAUUCAACGCCGGGA
This 917-nucleotide ribosomal RNA is filed under the name uncultured archaeon. RNAcentral describes it as "SSU rRNA". It matches the Rfam family "Archaeal small subunit ribosomal RNA", at positions 1 to 923 of the family's 1478-position model. The record is from RNAcentral.